Molecule: unclassified non-coding RNA, 1797 nt
Filed under: Sipha flava (yellow sugarcane aphid)
Lineage: Eukaryota; Metazoa; Arthropoda; Insecta; Hemiptera; Aphididae
Description: serine/threonine-protein kinase pelle-like, transcript variant X5
Source: RNAcentral
GUUAAACUUAUAAAUUUAAAAAAAUUUUAUGUGAUAUAUAGCAUUUAUUGAAAUAAUGAAGAACAGUAACAUGAAGAAACCUAUUACUUAUGUUUAUGAAUUGCCAUAUAGAGAACGUAAGAAAUUCUGUGAUAUAAUGGACAUGAAUGAAAAAUGGGAAGAACUAGGAGGAAAUUAUAUGAAAUUUGAUAAUGCUACUAUUUACAAAAUAAGUAAAGCUCCCAUGCGUAAUCAUUCUCCUACCGAUGAACUUUUGACUUUGUGGGGUGAACAAAAUCAUUCAAUAAUAGAACUAUUUUAUAUUUUAUAUAAAAUGCAACAUUAUCAAGCAAUGGCUAUACUUAAAGAGUUUGUUGAUCAAAAAUAUCAUUAUGUACUUAAUCAAAGUAAUAAUUUAAGCUUCAAUAACUUUGUUAAAUGUGAGAAUGGAAGUAAUUUACAGUUUACACAGAAUGUUGGUAAUCAUAUUCAAUUUAAUUCUGACGGUAAUCAAAGGAGAGAUAUUAAUUUACAACAUGAAGAUUUAAAUACAUUAGGCAAUGCAAAUAAAAACAUCAUCUCGGAGUCAUCUGUUAUGCUCUCAUUUGCUGAAGCAUGUACACCUUUGAUAACAUAUAAAGAAUUAGAAUUAGCAACCAACUAUUGGAGUAAUAGUUGUAUUUUGGGGAAAGGUGGUUUUGGAGUUGUUUUUAAAGGAAUAUGGAAAAACACCGCAGUUGCUGUCAAACGUAUCGAACCUCGGAAAGGAGCAGAUAAAAAAUUUGAUAAUUUAGAUGCUCAAAGAGAAUCUUUAUUAGAACUUCAAUAUUUAAGCUCUUGUCGACAUGACAAUAUUUUACCUCUUUAUGGAUUUAGUAUUGGUGGUGAAAAACCAUGUUUAGUUUUUCAAUAUAUGAUUAAUGGAUCCCUUGAGGAUAGAUUACAAUGUCGGAAUGGAACUGAACCUUUAAUAUGGUACAUUCGUUUUAAAAUUGCAACAGGAACAGCUAGAGGAUUGCAGUACUUACAUAAAAUGGAUAAACCAUUAAUUCAUGGUGAUAUUAAAAGUGGAAAUAUUCUUUUGGAUCAAUAUUUUGAACCACGAAUUGGUGACUUUGGAUUGGCUCGUGAAGGACCUCUUCAAGAAUACACUCAUGUGGACGUUACCCAUGUUUAUGGAACAAAGCCAUACCUGCCAGAUGAGUUUUUGAGAGGCAAAAAAUUUUCCACUAAAGUUGAUACUUAUAGUUUUGGAGUGGUACUCUUUGAAAUUGCUACUGGAUUAAGAGCACAAGACAGUACGAGAAAUCCUAAAUAUUUAAAAGACUAUGUUGAGAAUUAUAAUUUACAAAUUUCAAAUAUUGCUGAUAAGAAGGCAGGACCUGACGAAAAAAAAGUGUUUGAAUUUCUCAUGUCUAUUGGCAAAAACUGUGUUAGUUAUAAACCUAAAGACCGUCCAGAAAUGGAACAAGUGUUCAGACAGUUGGAGUCUGAUAUGCUACAAAAAAAAAUGUUAUAUAUAGAAAAUCCUUGCUCUACUGAUGCACUUCCAUGAGAAAGAGAAAGAACAACUUUAACAACUUAAGUUAUAAGCGGAUAUUUACAUUCAUUAAGAGCAUUUUUUAUGUUAAAUAUGUUUUCCGAAUAACAAUGAAUACGUGACGGAUUGUUUAAUGUUGUUAUUAAAUUUGAAUCGAGUUGAAGUAGCAACUAUUCGUCAGAUAAUGCUGUUUCAGAUAUUUUGAAAGGUUCAGAUAUCAUGUGAUCAGGUACCACAUCAUUCGUAUUAUUUUCUGUCAAUAAUGGAACAUAAUCUGA